RNAcentral lists this transfer RNA (67 nucleotides) under Gomphocerus sibiricus tibetanus. Its description in RNAcentral is "tRNA-Ile". The record is from RNAcentral. Lineage: Eukaryota; Metazoa; Arthropoda; Insecta; Orthoptera; Acrididae.
ACAGGAGUGCCUGAUUAAAGGAUUAUCUUGAUAGGAUAAAUAAACUAAUUUUAAAUUACCUCCAUUA